AUUGAACGCUGGCGGCAGGCCUAACACAUGCAAGUCGAGCGAGAGGCGGACGGGUGAGAAAUGUAUGGGGACUGCCCGAUAGAGGGGGAUAACUAAUGGCAACGGUAGCUAAUACCGCAUACUAGCGGAUAACCCAUAUAGGAUUAGCUAGUAGGUGAGGUAAUGGCUAACCUAGGCGACGAUCCCUAGCUGGUCUGAGAGGAUGAUCAGCCCCACUGGGACUGAGACACGGCCCAGACUCCUACGGAGGCAGCAGUGGGGAAUAUUGCACAAGGGGCGCAAGCCUGAUGCAGCCAUGCCGCGUGUAUGAAGAAGGCCCUAGGGUUGUAAAGUACUUUCAGUCGGGAGGCGUUACCGACAGAAGAAGCACCGGCUAACUCCGUGCCAGCAGCCGCGGUAAUUC
This 403-nucleotide ribosomal RNA is filed under the name uncultured bacterium. RNAcentral's name for it is "partial 16S ribosomal RNA". It matches the Rfam family "Bacterial small subunit ribosomal RNA", at positions 30 to 526 of the family's 1533-position model. The record is from RNAcentral.